GCCAGGCUUGGACCUGGGCAGGACAUGGGAAUCAACUGAAACCUUCUGGUAGGAUCCAGGAAGACGAGUCUCGUGCACCUUGCUAUCAACAUAAAGCUUCUUGCUGGAGGGUGUUUUGCUGCUUGGAAGAGAGCAAUGAGCCCUGAGUGGGUUCCACGGAACAGAUCCGGGAUGCCAGUGUGAGAAAUACCAGCUGGUGGAGGCUCCCUGGCAGAUCGUUUUGCUGAGGAUUCGGAGCAUCUGAGACAAAACGAAAAAACAUAAGAACUUUAGAUCCCACAGCAUGAACUCCUCAAAGUCGGUCUGGGCACACACCGCACGUGCGUUUUGGCGCUUUCCCAACCUUCUUAGUAUAAAGGUAAAUGACUCUAUUAACCAGGGGUUGGGCCAGCCUAAUUUUGUUAGAGGCUGUAUUAUAGGACAGGCUAUGAGUGUAUGUCAAAUGCUGGAACAUUCUGAAGGCCUAUGGACACUGUGCCUGGAAGAGAAAAAAAGGCUUAUAGUAUUCUUUUAAUGCACAUUAUCUUUUUCACGGAAAAUUAAUACUUAUAAAUGCUCCAUAAUUUUAAAAGACCCAUGAAAACCAUGAAGUCCACA
Long non-coding RNA from Felis catus (domestic cat), 597 nucleotides. RefSeq lists it as uncharacterized. The record is from RefSeq and is a predicted model, not a curated record. The transcript is spliced from 3 exons. NCBI's taxonomy places the organism in Eukaryota, Metazoa, Chordata, Mammalia, Carnivora, Felidae.